This is a long non-coding RNA of Oryzias melastigma (Indian medaka), 2134 nucleotides long. RefSeq lists it as uncharacterized. The record is from RefSeq and is a predicted model, not a curated record. The transcript is spliced from 4 exons. Lineage: Eukaryota; Metazoa; Chordata; Actinopteri; Beloniformes; Adrianichthyidae.
GUGAAAUCUCAAAAACACUUUUGGUGGGAAAAGGUUUUGCUAAUUUUCAAGCAUUUAUGGAGGCUGACAAACCUCACUGGCUGGACUUGCUGUUGCACAUCAGAUCCGCAGAUCCUUCAGCAGUCCUUCUGCCAGAUCCAGAAUAGAGUCGGUUCCCCGUGGCCUCGACUCUUUGUGUCUCCACACGCAGACAAUCUGCAACAUUGAGCACAGAGAGCCGGACAGGGAGAAUAAAAGUCUGCGUGAUCGUCUGGAAUGGCAGGAAUGUCACACAUCACCCUCGCAGCCGCGGCAACCGCCACGGUAGCCACACUCUCUUGACUUUAUGAUUUGUUGACAAGUGGAUUGUCAGAUUUGAAAGCACCAAGACGUCAUAAAGGUUUUUAGUUCAGAUCGUAAAAUAAAGGAUAAAAAAAACACCAAAGGAGAUGUGAGCAGACGUGAUUCCAAUCCACCACACUUUGAAUUGAUAAGAAUCUCACUUUUUUGGCUCCGUGUUCCAACCAAGGCGUACAGCUCUUGGAGAGGGGUCAGCAGACGAGGGUCAGAUGUCAGUCUGUUUAUCUAAUGAGAUAAAGACCGAUGGAGUUACAACCUCAGAGUGUGAUAAUCCGUGUGGUUAUGCCAUCAAAGAAAUGGGUUUUCUGUGCUUAGCGAUCGGCUAAAAAGGCAACCGAUGUGGAACCACAGCUGCUAGUGUUUAAAUCAUUUUUGGCUCAAGCUUUCUACCAUUUUGACUUUAUUCGUUGUAAACAAAAAUGGAUCUCACAUUUGGCUGAAACACAAAUCUGUUUAUUUAUUUUACGAAGUUUCUUUCUUUGAUAUGACCAAAGAGGCCACCCAACAUCUGAGCUGCAACGCUUGUGAUUUGUUAAUCUUGGAAACCUUCAGAGGAAAUGUAGUUUUUGUUUAUUUAUCGUUCUACCUCCCAUCUGAGAGGAGCCGCGUUGAGUUAAUGGGAUUUCAGGGACCGCUUUAAUAUUAGAGGUGUGGACAGAAGGGUCACAUCUCCUUGACAGAGUCAAAAGAAGCAAAGAUGGAAGAUAAAAAUUUGGACGGAAAGGACCCAAUUACAAAAGGAAGAAGUCUUUGGGGAAUGUGGAAAAAGAAUCAAGUGACAUGUAGUUAUUUCAGAGGAAGAAAGACAGACUGUGGCAGGAUAAAAAAAUGGAAACCAAGGCCGUAUUUUGACAUUUACUACCUAUACUGGACUGUGAAAAUGCUUUACACGUUCAAAUCUGCCUUUUUAUUUUAAGGUUUUCCUUGCUGUGUCGUUUUUUUUUUUUUUUUUUUUUUUACUUCAUACAAAUGUCCUUGUGUUUUUCACAUUAGUGGCUGGUUUUCAUUCCAUGAAAGCAUCAGUUGCCAUGGCAGAGGAAAAAACUGCAAUUGAGCAGAUUAAGUUUUUUUUUUUUUAAGUUUUGUCCCCAAGUUUUAUGAAACCUAGAAUUAUUGAAUGUUGCAGUUCCUCAAAAGACCACUGAAAGAGUGGUUUCAGCCAUUGACUGUAUAUGAGAACUGGACUGAGUGACUCCUCCCCCCUGGUUUUCCAAACAAAGUACCUGCUGGCUCCAAAAAGACAAAAUUCCAUAGACUUCUACUGAGAAAUAAACUGCUUUUAUUUCUUGAUUUACUAUCUUUUUUUUUUUUGCAUGUUCUUGCUAAUCCUAAUGUUUUUCAUAUCUUUUUAUAGUGUAAGAGUUCUGUAGUGUGGUUCAAGUUAUAAGCUGGCCAAUCAAAUGCCUCAAUAAAAGUAGCCAAUUUUAUGCCGAACAGAUUUAAUGUAGUCCACUUUCAGUUGUUUGGGUUGUGGACUUCCAACAAGCUCACUCCUGAUUGACGAGAGUGGUUACCAUAGAAAUGUUGAAUCAGAGGAAUUUCGACCAAUCAGUGCUCACUGACGUCAUCCGGCUCCAACUUGGUGUACGUAUUGCAAAAGAAGUGACAACUGAAUUGACAUUUCACUGCAGCUAUUUUCUUUGGAUGACAUCACAAUCGGUCCAGCUCUCGUCUACAGUCAAUGGUUUCAGCCAGGAGCAAUUUCUCGAUUACAUUUUUUAAACUGUUUUGAGACGCCUCAAUUUCUUUUUUUUUUUUUUUCUCAAAAAGAACAACAGUUUGCUUUCUAAUCCAG